GCUUGUCUCAAAGAUUAAGCCAUGCAUGUCUAAGUAUAAACCGCUCGAACGGUGAAACUGCGAAUGGCUCAUUAAAUCAGUUAUAGUCCACUUGAUAGUCCCUUGCUACUCGGAUAACCGUAGUAAAUCUAGAGCUAAUACGUGCACCAAGGGCCGACUGGGGGCCGGGGGGCAACCCUCGGCGAAAUCUCGCUCCGGAAGGCUCGUAUUUAUUAGAUACGACAAACCGACCCAGGGCAUUCCAAACCGAGGCGAGGAGGGGGAUUCGUCCCCCGUCCCUCGCCUCGGGUCCUGGCCAAAAACAAAAACAACGGUGAUUCAUGAUAACUUCGCGAAUCGCAUUUUCGGCCUCGCGCCGGCGAUGAUUCAUUCGAAUUUCUGCCCUAUCAACUUUCGAUGGUAAGAUAGAGGCUUACCAUGGUGAUCACGGGUGACGGAGAAUUAGGGUUCGAUUCCGGAGAGGGAGCCUGAGAAACGGCUACCACUUCUAAGGAAGGCAGCAGG
This 504-nucleotide ribosomal RNA is filed under the name Stenamoeba amazonica. Its description in RNAcentral is "partial small subunit ribosomal RNA". It matches the Rfam family "Eukaryotic small subunit ribosomal RNA", at positions 30 to 432 of the family's 1831-position model. The record is from RNAcentral. Lineage: Eukaryota; Discosea; Longamoebia; Thecamoebida.